AUGCAAGUUGAACGGUAACAGAUCCAGCAAUGGAUGCUGACGAGUGGCGCACGGGUGCGUAACGCGUAUGCAACCUACCUUUAACUGAGGAAUAGCUCCGAGAAAUCGGGAUUAAUCCCUCAUAAUAUUUUUGAAAGGCAUCUUUUAAAAAUUAAAGUUUCGACGGUUAUUGAUGGGCAUGCGUGGCAUUAGUUUGUUGGUGAGGUAACGGCUCGCCAAGACAUCGAUGCCUAGGGGGCCUGAGAGGGUGAUCCCCCACACUGGUACUGAGACACGGACCAGACUCCUACGGGAGGCAGCAGUAAGGAAUAUUGGGCAAUGGACGAAAGUCUGACCCAGCCAUGCCGCGUGCAGGAUGACGGCCCUAGUGGUUGUAAACUGCUUUUAUACGGGAAGAAAAGUUCCAACGUGUUGGAAUGUGACUGUACCGUAUGAAUAAGCAUCGGCUAACUCCGUGCCAGCAGCCGCGGUAAUACGGAGGAUGCAAGCGUUAUCCGGAUUCAUUGGGUUUAAAGGGUGCGUAGGCGGAUUGGUAAGUCAGUGGUGAAAUCCUCUCGCUUAACGGGAG
RNAcentral lists this ribosomal RNA (568 nucleotides) under uncultured organism. Its description in RNAcentral is "bacterial SSU rRNA". It matches the Rfam family "Bacterial small subunit ribosomal RNA", at positions 55 to 618 of the family's 1533-position model. The record is from RNAcentral.